ACCCAAACCAAAGAGAGCUGAAAAGGAAAGAGAAGAGAGAGAGAGAGAGAGAGAUAGAGUGAAGAGAGAGAGAGAGAGAGUGAAAUGGAGUUCCAUUUCAACACAAGCAGAGCGGAAGCGGAGCGGUGGCUGAGCACGGCGGUCAAGCUACUGACGACACGUGACCUGCACGGGACCAAGAGCUUCGCGAUCCGAGCCCGAGAGUCCGACCCGAGAUUGGAGGCCACCGAGCAAAUAAUCGCCGUUGCCGACACGCUUCUCGCCGGCGACUCCCGGAUCAGCGGCCACAGCCAGCAGCCCGACUGGUACGCGAUCCUGCAACUCACCCACUACACUCAGAACCUCGAACUCGUUGCGACUCAGUACCGCCGACUCGCUCUCCUGCUCAACCCGCACCGGAACCGCUUCCCGUACGCCGAUCACGCCUUCCGGCUCGUCUCCGAGGCCUGGAACGUCCUCUCUAACCCUUCCAAAAAGGCCCUCUAUGACCACGAGUUGAGCAUGUUCAACCGGUUCGACUCGGCCCCCUCCGGGUCGACUCAGUUGUUCGAGAGGCAAUUCUUGCAAAUGCAUAAUGUGCAACAGCAAGCACCGCAGCCGCCGCAACCGCCACCACCGCCACCACCGCAACCACAAACACUACAUUUCCAGCCUCCACCACCACCAUCACAAGAAGUACAGAGAGCACAACAUCAAUUUCAUCUACAUCAAUUAAGACAAGAGCAGCAGCAGCAGCAGCAGCAGCAGCAGCAGCAACAGCAGCAACAACAGCAACAACAGCUUCAACAACCACCACAGCAGCAGCACCAGCAGCAGCACCAGCAACAGCCACCACAGCAGCCGGAGCCGCAGCAGCAGCAACCGGUGAGGAAAAGCCCUAGGAGUAAGGAUGGAAGAGUGGCGAUGGAGGAGGAAAGGCCGAGUCUUAACAAUGUGACCGAGUCGACUGCUCCUCCCUCAGAGUCAACUCGCCCUGUUGAGGCAUCUCCCCCUUCUGAGUCGACUCGACCGGAAUCGGAGCCCCGAACGGAGAGUUUCUGGACUGCAUGUCCCUACUGUUAUAAUCUCUUUGAGUAUCCGAGCGUUUACGAGGAUUGCAUGCUUCGGUGUCAAAAUUGCAAGAGGGCGUUCAAUGCGGUGGUGAUAGAGGCACCGCCUGUGACGGGGAGUGACGGUGAGGUCAACUUCUGCUGUUGGGGGUAUUUCCCGUUGGGGUUUGCCGAGAAUGGUAAAGAUACAGGCGGGUCAGCUGAGUGGACGCCGUUUUCGACCAUGUUUGCUUGUCCAAUACAAGGGAAGAAGAAGAAUGCUGGACGAACUAAGAAAGCUAAUUCAGGGCCGAGGGUCUAUAUUGACGAUGAUGAGGCGUUGUUUGAUAUUUCGGAUUCUAGUGAGGAAUCUGACGAUGAGUGGCAGACGGAUAGGAGGAAAAAGAGGGCAGUGAAAGCAAAAGGUAAAGCUUCAGUGGCUAAAACUCCAGUGAGGGCUUCGGAUAGAAUAAGGAAGGGUAAUCAAAAUGUGGGUGGGCAGGGGAAGGUAGGAAGUGGUGGGAGUUUGGGUGUUGGGUCUCUGUCGAAGCCGGAGUCGAGUAAGAAGUCGAGUUCUAGUGCAAGAAAGAGAGGUGCAGCUGCUUUGGGGAAGUUGGAUUUGAAUGUGGAGUUCAGUAAUAAUGAAGUGGAAGAGCCUGCAGCUCAGACAAUGAGUGAAGGGAAUGGGACUGCAAACGGGGAGGAGGAUAACAUUGAAGGGAUUGGGUUUUUUGAGGGUCUUGAUGAGUUUUUGAGUAGUCUGCCCAUACUUAAUGUUGUGGGUGAUGACAAGGUUAAGGCUAAUUAGUGAAGUAAGGGAUCAACUAUAAUAUUGUAGCAUAAAAGGUAGCAAUAGCUAAUGGAAGAAAGCAACACAAGGAGCAAGCUCAAGGAUAUCUGUGUGUAUUGGGAAAGCAACUUCGGACACAGAAAAGUCUUCGGUGACGCUGCUCUUGAGUUCAGCAAUAAACUGGUGAUUCAGACGGAUAUGAAUUAGAGGAAUUUUCACAAUUAUAAAGAGGAGGGUUUGAGGGGUGGAGAAUCUUUGAGAGACGAUGAGAUUCCUAUGGCAUUGCUUUCUAUUUAGGGGUCUUUGUCUUUCCACUAUUAUCCUAGUUUGGAAAACAGCUGCAGAUACUACAAGGCCGGUGGAUUUGUUGCGGAGACGUACUCUUUAGAGCAAAAACCCGUCUUGUGAAGCUCAUGAAGUAGGGAAUAGGCAUUCUGUGGUUCUUGUUAACCAAAAUGAGAAUGAUGAUCUUAAGAUGAAAUAAAGGGAAAGUGGGAACUUGUAUUGAUUUGAAAAAUGAGUUUCCGUUAAGUUUGAGUGAUGUUGAUUAUGUUCGUCUCCGGCUCAUUCGGUCGGAAUCAAAUUUUCCUUGAAACCUUCAUAACUUGUGGGAACAAAGAAACAACACAGGCAAACCCAAAAGGGCACAAAAACAAAACGAGAGAAAGAACUAGCCGAACUACAACCAAAGCGUAGCAAAGAAGAUCUUCCUCAAUCUAACAACAAAUCUACAAACAAAGCCUAGCAAAGAAGAUCUUCCUCAUUCUAACAACAAAUUACCCCGGUGGGUUCGGGAGACAAUCAGAAAUCAACCCUUGAACCAGAGACGGAAGUGGCGUAACUUAGCAGUUCACCGCUCUCAGCCCAAUCCUUGCCGCCCUUGCUGCCUCAUGGGCAGUACGAUUCAUGUCUUGGAAUCCAGCAGCACUCAACAUGUCUUGGACUCCAGCAGCACUCAACUUGCUGAAAACCUGCCGCCAAUCUUCUAAUCUCAUUGAUCAGAAGAAAUAAGGUUCAUGCCCUGUUUUCCACACAGCCAUUCACAGUCACUAGUGCCUCAGCAAUCAAAGCAGACCGUUUU
Prunus mume (Japanese apricot) is the source of this 2899-nucleotide non-coding RNA. NCBI's taxonomy places the organism in Eukaryota, Viridiplantae, Streptophyta, Magnoliopsida, Rosales, Rosaceae. The record is from RefSeq and is a predicted model, not a curated record.